UAGACCCUGCAAUUUAAAAAAUCUGUAUCAAACGUGGCAGACUCAAAGGGGGGCAUUUUAAAAAAGGCAGGUUUGUUUUCUUUUUUAACUUUACGAUCUACAGCCUAGCAAAGAGCUCCCUUUCAGUGUCAGUCGCUUGGCCUUCUCCCCUACUGACGAGGUCCCAGCCUCCCGGUGAGAUCUCGCUGGAGAUAUUCUCAGUUUCCCUCAGGUACGGGGCUGCCCUGGCCCGAGGCCAGCGAAGAAGCUGACUUUGCCCGUGCCUGAAUCAGCAACACGUCCAGCAGGCGACUUGCAGAGCCCAGGGAACCCUCGUAAAGAGGUUUGGGGGUGGGCCGCGCCACAUCUGCGGCAUCGGCCGUGGGAGAGGACCGGCGCAGUAAAACAGGCUGGACGGAGCCCAUAGAGGAAGGCACUACGCGUCUUGCUGGGUCUGUUUGCCUGCCUUCUCGUAAGCCGUCGCGGAAACUUGCACGAGCAAAGCCUGUGCAAGCUGAUGACAGCCACGCACGGUUGAAGAGGGAGCAGACGGUGAGAGCAGAGGUGCGCGCUCAGGCUGUGCGCUGGAAGCUAAUGCUAAUGCUGCAAAAUAAAGAGUGGAUUUUCUUUUUUGGGUUUAGGUGAGCGCUAAACAUGA
Non-coding RNA from Phalacrocorax carbo (great cormorant), 637 nucleotides. NCBI's taxonomy places the organism in Eukaryota, Metazoa, Chordata, Aves, Suliformes, Phalacrocoracidae. The record is from RefSeq and is a predicted model, not a curated record.